RNAcentral lists this ribosomal RNA (251 nucleotides) under uncultured bacterium. Its description in RNAcentral is "partial 16S ribosomal RNA". It matches the Rfam family "Bacterial small subunit ribosomal RNA", at positions 85 to 339 of the family's 1533-position model. The record is from RNAcentral.
UUGAUGGCGAGUGGCGGACGGGUGAGUAAUGCAUAGGAAUCUACCCAGUAGCGGGGGACAACUUAGGGAAACUUAAGCUAAUACCGCAUACGCCCUACGGGGGAAAGCAGGGGAUCUUCGGACCUUGCACUAUUGGAUGAGCCUGCGUUGGAUUAGCUAGUUGGUAGGGUAAAGGCCUACCAAGGCGACGAUCCAUAGCUGGUCUGAGAGGAUGAUCAGCCACACUGGAACUGAGACACGGUCCAGACUCC